UCAACCCUCAAGCUAUAUUUGUUUGGUGUUGGGGCCCUAUAAUACAAGUAUAGGCCCUGAAGACCAUGGCGGGAGUUUUAUAAACCCGAACGUAGUAAAUACUUUUCGUUUAGGGAGCUAUAGAAGUUCUUUAGCCAUAACCUCCUUCUGGAAUUUCUAAGGUUGACCUCGGAUCAGGUAGGAAUACCCGCUGAACUUAA
RNAcentral lists this unclassified non-coding RNA (200 nucleotides) under soil metagenome. RNAcentral's name for it is "partial contains internal transcribed spacer 2 and large subunit ribosomal RNA". The record is from RNAcentral.